This is a non-coding RNA of Podiceps cristatus (great crested grebe), 46 nucleotides long. The record is from Rfam. Lineage: Eukaryota; Metazoa; Chordata; Aves; Podicipediformes; Podicipedidae.
CCAUAGGCUCUUUAAGAGCCACCAAACAGCAUCCGGAGGUGGGUGU